Molecule: long non-coding RNA, 180 nt
Organism: Sander lucioperca (pikeperch)
Lineage: Eukaryota; Metazoa; Chordata; Actinopteri; Perciformes; Percidae
Exons: 3
Source: RefSeq, a predicted model, not a curated record
UCUUUGACAUUGUGUGAUUUACGUACGCUAAUUGACCUCUCGCCGGCCCCUCCCCCAAAACGGCCAUUGUCCAAUCACACAUCAUAGCAACCGUUACUAUGUGAGCAGGUCCGACAAACAUUGACUCCAAGCAAGAUGGUGAAGGGGUGCACCCACGGCGUUUGUAAAUCGGACACUAGA